GGGUACGUAGCUUAAUGGUAGAGCUGUGGACUCAUAAUCCAAAUAGUAUAGGUUCAAUUCCUUUCGUACCCA
Molecule: transfer RNA, 72 nt
Filed under: Gormaniella terricola
Lineage: Eukaryota; Viridiplantae; Chlorophyta; Chlorophyceae; Chaetopeltidales; Chaetopeltidaceae
Description: tRNA-Lys
Rfam family: tRNA
About the family: Transfer RNA (tRNA) molecules are approximately 80 nucleotides in length. Their secondary structure includes four short double-helical elements and three loops (D, anti-codon, and T loops). Further hydrogen bonds mediate the characteristic L-shaped molecular structure. tRNAs have two regions of fundamental functional importance: the anti-codon, which is responsible for specific mRNA codon recognition, and the 3' end, to which the tRNAs corresponding amino acid is attached (by aminoacyl-tRNA synthetases). tRNAs cope with the degeneracy of the genetic code in two manners: having more than one tRNA (with a specific anti-codon) for a particular amino acid; and 'wobble' base-pairing, i.e. permitting non-standard base-pairing at the 3rd anti-codon position.
Source: RNAcentral